Molecule: long non-coding RNA, 1626 nt
Filed under: Homo sapiens (human)
Lineage: Eukaryota; Metazoa; Chordata; Mammalia; Primates; Hominidae
Description: HSALNT0405922
Source: RNAcentral
AUCUAGCUGGGAAAUGUGGUAGUUUUAAGACAUGUCUGCAAAUUCUUUCAUCUUUUUCUCAUCAAGAUGUGGGUUCUCUAUUCCUCACCUUGAACCUGGGCCCACCUUAAUGAUUGGUUGGUCACCAGCAUAAAGAGGAAGUGAUAUUCUGUGACUUCCAGGCUGGGCCAUAGAAGCCAGGCAGUUUCCUCUUGGUUCCCUGGAUCACUUGCACUGGAGCUGCCACGUAAGAAGUCUGACCAUCCCGAGGCCUCUAUGCUGUGAGGAAGCCCAAAUUAGUCCACAUGGAGAUGCCCUGAGUCUACAAGAAAAGAGAGGACAGACAGAGAUGCUCCUCUAGACACCAUUUCGCUGAAACCACAUGAGGGUUCACCAAGCCAAGACCGCUGAGCUGAGCCUUUCCCAGGUUCCUGACCACAGAAACCAUAAGAGAUAAUAACGUGAUUGAUGGUGGCCAGACACAGUGACUCACACCUGAAAUCCCAGCACUUUGGGAGGCUGAGAUCUAUGCCCCUUGAUAUGACUUUGCAGUUCCUUCUACUAAGAAGAUGAAUCCAUUUCUCCACCCGCUGAGUCUGGGCUGGUCUUGUGAUGUGCGUUAGUCAAUAGAAGUGGCUGAAGUGAUGGCGCGCCAGUUUUUAGCCUACACUUCAAGAAGCCUAUGGACUUCCACUUGCUGUCUUGAAACCCUGUUUGAAAAAGGUUCCCUGAGGACAAGGCCAGACUAGCCUGCUGGAGGGUGAGAGACCACAGGGAGCAGAGACAAGUCAGCUCACAUUAGCAGAACCUCUCAGUCAAUCCACAGACCCGUAAUCUCCUCCCCUGGAGUGUGGACCAGAGUUAGUGACUCACCUCUAACGAAUGAAAUAGCUCAGUCUGAUGGAAGCAGCUGCCCUGUUGUGAGCUCCCCCUAGGGAGAGGCCCACAUGGGAAGAAAUCAAAGUAUGCCUCAAACCAACAGCCAGAGGGAAACUGAGGCUUCAGUCCAACAAGCCAGAAGGAACUGAAUCCCACCAACAACCACUUCAUUGAGCCAAUGAGAAAGCUAAAGCUUGGUGAGAUUACGGAAGCCUACAGUUACACAGCUGACUCCCUCCAGAGGCCCCAUCCACACCCACUGUUGGACUCCUGCUACUCUCGGAGGCUUGGAGUUGGUUUCUCCUCCCCCAAAUCGGUCUCAACACUUACCCUUACUUCCUGCUCUUCGUGGUCUCAGCCUCACUGUUCUUCGUGGACUCAUUUUUUCUCUUCCCUUUGUUUUAUUUUUGUCUCUUUCUUUCUUUUUUGGCUUCAGUGGAGUCCUAGCCUUAAGGUUUUCCUUCUCUAACCCCUUGUUCCCCUUCCAUUCUCUUUCCAGCCCUCUGUAAGCUGCAGCACAGUGUUUACAGUUAAGCCAGCCUCCAUUGAGGCCUUCAGUUGCCGAAGUUCAAAAAAAUCAACCUAGAAUAACAACGUAUUGUUAUAUAAAUGGCAUCUCAGAAAUAAACUAGUCAAAUACGCUUAUCCCCACAGUUCACAUGGGGGAAAAGCUUGCUACCUGAUGUUCUAAUACAUAAUAGUUGUUUUCUCAUUUAUCAACUUUCAUCCCCAGUAUCUGUAAGCUCCAAGAAGGCAAAGACUUUCACU